Molecule: ribosomal RNA, 447 nt
Filed under: uncultured bacterium
Lineage: Bacteria
Description: partial 16S ribosomal RNA
Rfam family: Bacterial small subunit ribosomal RNA
Source: RNAcentral
AACGAACGCUGGCGGCAUGCCUAACACAUGCAAGUCGAACGCCCCGCAAGGGGAGUGGCGAACGGGUGAGUAACGCGUGGGAAUCUACCCAGCAGUUGGGGAUAACCGCGGGAAACUGCGGCUAAUACCGAAUACGUCCUAAGGGAGAAAGAUUUAUCGCUGUUGGAGGGGCCCGCGUCGGAUUAGCUAGUUGGUGAGGUAACGGCUCACCAAGGCGACGAUCCGUAGCUGGUCUGAGAGGAUGAUCAGCCACACUGGGACUUAGACACGGCCCAGACUCCUACGGGAGGCAGCAGUGGGGAAUAUUGGACAAUGGGGGCAACCCUGAUCCAGCAAUGCCGCGUGAGUGAUGAAGGCCUUAGGGUUGUAAAGCUCUUUUACCGGGGACGAUGAUGACGGUACCCGGAGAAUAAGCCCCGGCUAACUUCGUGCCAGCAGCCGCCGUAA